UGGCUGCAAGAGUUUUGCAGUAAGAUGUAGUCUUUUGAUACAGUCGGGACUGAAAAGCGAUUCACCUGAAGACAUCAAAACUUGGCAACUUUAAUAAUCCGAUUAUGUUCUUGCACAUGUAUCGAUUUCGAGCAGUUGAAGCCAAGGUAUUCAAGUUAAUGUUUUCAGUGAAGAGCCUUUUAACUGCAGUUGUUCAUAAUCGACCAGACAACCCCGUAGAGUUUCUUCAGGAAUGCCUGGAAGUAGCCAAACAGAACGAAGACCUUCGUUGGAAUUCCUUUCUCCACGUGCAGGACAGAACCAAGAAGAGUUCACAGACGACUCAAACAGGACAGUUUGAUAAAGUAUUUGAUACAGAAUUGGAAGCAACGUUAAAUGGCUAAAAAAAAGACCAAGUGUGAUCAGUUAUGCUAGAGUCCGAAAUAGUGCAUUGGUUUUCAGUUUGCUAUAUUUCUUUCAUAUUCUUUAUAUAAUAUAUUUUUUUGUUGUUGUGAAUACACCGCUUCACAUAAAACGAUGGGUAGCCCCUGGAGGGUUGACCUUGCAAACAGCUGCUGUGUUAGAAAUCGGAUACUGUAAGUGGUUAUGGAAAUGUGACGACUCUUUGAUCAUGUUAUCUGGUCAGUCCCAGAAGCUGAGCAAACAAGAACACUUUAUAACUGUUCCAAGCUGCUUAUCAACAUGGAAAAUCCAUGAUUGUAUUUAGGUAUAAAGUGAAAACUGUAAAUAGAUAAAUAUGAUUGUUAUUCCAGCCGUCUCCUGCUCUUUUGUAAAGUUUUUCUCGGUGAGUCACGACCCAAGUUUACGACUGCUUCUCUAGCUGUGACGUCAAACCGAGGAGUGGGGAAAGAGGUUGGUGAGACAAUGCUCCACUACUCCGCAUUCGUCAGUUCUCGUUCUGUUCAAUGAAACCACAACACAGUCUGGUUCCCAGAGGUAGAGUGUUCACAGCUUGCAGAACGCUCUAAGGACGGGAUUUCCUGCAAAACUGACAGGCACCUGUGCUACUAAGGCAGUGCGCAACACAGCAACAGCUACUGCGUGUCUUUAUCGGUGAGCAUUUUACGGGACAUACCUUGUGGGUAAAAGCAACACAAGACUAGCACGAAGAGACGUGUGCGCGCAGGCAAAUAAAAGGCUAAAAUAUACAUUUGGCUCGAGAAAGCUUGUCCCAUAAAAGGGUUUAAGAGUACGCGAGAGUACCAAAACGUAUUAUGAGCGGUAUUAGUUGCUUGAUUGAAGUUCACGGCCUUCAGUGCGAAGGAGGUAAAAACCACGAAUAGAUAGUCAUGGUUUUUACCUCAAGUUUUUUUUUCCUGCAUGCAGUUAGUUUUUCCUACGGAGGAUAAACCAACGGCUCGCAGGGUAUGGAACACCGUGAACUUCGAUCAACCAGUGGUGAACUACAGUUACCCAUAGCACCUUUUGCCGUUGUCGCGUAGGCUUUUACGCUUUUUGAUUUGUAGGACAACUUUUCUCCCAAUAGCUAUGAAACUAAAGUUGAGUUAUAAGAAAGGAGCGCUAUUAAAUAUAAUUAAGAAAACAACGCGACGCCAUCCAUAACAACUGAUUGCUUUAUUAUUUAACAAAAUAAUGAAUGCUAAAAUAUCGGUCAAUUCUUAAACAAAAAUGAUGCCUCUUAUUUUACCGAACCCACGGUCUUAAUAA
Molecule: long non-coding RNA, 1668 nt
Filed under: Orbicella faveolata
Lineage: Eukaryota; Metazoa; Cnidaria; Anthozoa; Scleractinia; Merulinidae
Description: uncharacterized LOC110067851
Source: RNAcentral